This 6382-nucleotide long non-coding RNA is filed under the name Canis lupus familiaris (dog). RNAcentral describes it as "lncRNA (ENSCAFG00845026224.1)". The record is from RNAcentral. Lineage: Eukaryota; Metazoa; Chordata; Mammalia; Carnivora; Canidae.
AAAAAUAAUAGUGAUUCCUACAUUUGCCAUUUCUGUGCUCCUUAGCAUCCAAUUUCCCCGUUCUAAUGGUUAACUUUUACUAGAUGAUAAUUUUAAUGGCAUCAUUGAGAUAUGAUUCACAUACUAUAAAAUUCACCCACUUAGAACUGUAUGAUCCAGUGGGUUUUACUACAAUCUGCUUAGAACAUUCUUACCUCAAAAAGAAACUCCAUACUCAUAAGCAGACACUCUCUAUUCUCCAUCAGUCCCCAUCACAGUUUACUUCUAAUCUAUCAUGUCUCUAUAAACUUAAUAUUCUUGACAUUUCAUAUGAAUGAAAUCAAUCAUACAAUAUGUGGUCCUCUGUGACUAGCUUCUUUCUUAUAGCAUAUUUUCAAGGUUCAUCUAUGUUACAGCAUGUACCAAUACUCCAUUUCUCUUUCUCUAAAUAGUAUAUAAUACAGAUAUACCACAUUUUUCAUUCAUUGGUUGAUGAACAUUUGAGAUGCAUCCACUUUUUGACGACUAUGUAUAACAACAUUCUAAUCACUUGUGUACAAGUUUUUAGGUGAGAAUAUUUUUUGCUUUGGGGUAUAGAUCUCAAAAUGGAACUGCUAUGUCAUAUGAUAACCAUGUUUAAUAGUUAUGCCCAACUAUUUGCCAAAGCACCAUUUUACAUUCUGACCAACAAUGUAUGAGAGUUUCAGUUUUGCCACAUAACAGCACUUGUUAUUGUCUGUGUUUUUGAUUAUUUCCAUUUUAAAGGGUGUGAAGUAUUAUCUCAUUGUGGUUUUGAUUUGUAUUUCCCUAAUGACUACAGAGGUUAAUUAAGCAUAUUCUCAUAUGGUUAUUAGCUACUUAUAUAUCUUCUUUGAGGAAAUAUCUACUCAAAUUCUUUGACCAUUUCUUAAUGGGAUUGUCUUUUUAUUGUUGUUAUAAUCAUUUUAAUAUAUUUUGGGUACAAUUCCCAUAUUAGAUAUAUUAUUUGAAAAUAUUUCUUCCAUUCUGUGGGUUGUCUUCUAAUCCAUGAACAUGGAUGUCUUUACAUUCAUUUAGGUCUUCUUAAUCUUUUUCAACAAUGAUUUGUAGUUUUAGUGUAAAAGUCACAAAGAAUUGUAAUCAUUUGACUAAUCUGGUAGCUUCCUGGAAACUGACUUUUGUCCACCUGAAGUUUGCCUGGAGCUAAAGCUGCUACCUGGGGGCAAUGCUAAAACAUUAAUAGGCAAAUAUUUUGGUUACUGUUGCCUGGGGUAAUAGAUAACAUUUGAAGCAACAGACCCAAAAGCUAGGAAGGACAGGCUAGGGAAUGAAUGAUGUCCAUUAGGGCUUUGGAAAGUUAUAACAUAUUCCUGGGAAUCUAGAAGGCGACAUGCAUGGUCAGGGCUGUGUGUAUUCUAAGGAAAGCCCUGAGAAGGCCUCAAGCUGUCAUCUCUGACUGACCUGGAGGUUCUCCUAAGUAGAAAGCUGAGGUUAAGGCACAAUUGUAAACUACCUGGCUGAGUGCUGGAUGUGCACCACAAAAACACACACAGAAUCCACGGCAAACAGUGGGAAAUUUUUUCAUUCUGGAUGUUUAAGGAAAUCUCUGUCCAAUCAUUAGCUGGCCAUUAAGUUAACAACAGAUACUUCAGUGGCCACACAUGACAAAGAAUACAGACUUUACAAAAUUAGUUCAGAAAAGUUACUAGACAAACAACAACUACAACAAGCAGCAACAACAAACACUAGGAUGGAAGAGGGAGUGGAGAAUCUGAUUUUCAGUGUUGCCACAUUAUAAUUUAAAAGUUCUGUUUUCAACUAAGAAUUACAAGGCAUGCAAAGAGAGGAAAAUAUGGCUCAUACGCAGGAGGAAAAGCAAUCAAUAGAUAUCCUGAGAAAGCCCAGACACCGGAUUUUCUAAGCAAAGAUUUUAAUGAAGCCAUGUCUAAAGAAUGAAAUCAAAGUAUGUUUCAACCAAAUGAAGACUAUAAAUAGAAGUAGUGAAAAGAACUUUUAAAUCUAUAACUUUCAAUUAGAGUUGAAAAGUAUAAUAAUUGAAAUGAAAAUUUCACUUGAGUGGCUCAGCAACAGAUUUGAGCAAGCAGAUGAAUAUAUAAACUUAAAGAUAGAUCAACUGACAUCGUACAGUUUGAGGAACAGGAAAAAAAUGAAGAAAAUGAACAGAGCCUAAGAGAAUAGAGCCAACAAGUAUAACAGCAUAUAUAUAAUGUGAGUCUCAGAGGAAAAGGGAAAAAAGCAUCGAAAAGAAUAUUUGAAAAAAACUUCCCAAAUCUGAUGAUAAAUAUUAACCUACAAAUCCAUGAAACUCCAGGAACUCCCAAGUUCUCAAAGAUAUGUAUACCCAGACAUAUUAUAAUCAAACUAUUAAAAACAAAAGCAAGAGACAAUCUUGAAACAGCAAGGGACUCAUCAAUACAAGGGAUCCUCAAUAAGAUUAACAGCUGACUUAUCUACAGAAACCAUGGAGGCCAGAAGCAGUGAGAUGAUGUACUCAAGGUGCUGAACAGAAAAAACUGUCAAUCAAUUCUAUAGUCAGCAAAACUAUCCUUCAAAAAGGAAGAAAAAAAUUAAGACAUUCCCAGAUAAACAUUGCUAGAGGAAUGAAGAUAUGUAGAGCAAAGUUUUUAUUGAAAUUAUUGAAUUAGAUGAAAUAGGUCAACUCAUAAUCUAAUAAAAACUAUGCAUUUUAAAUUAUUUCUUUUUUCAUUUGUGAUUUUGGUGUCAUAUCUAAGACGACUACUUAAAGAGGUCACAAUAUUUUCAUGAGUUUUAUGGGUUUUGCUUAUAUUUUGGUUUAUGAUCCAUCUUGAGUUGACUUGUGCAUGUAGUGUGAGGAAGGCUUUUUUUUUUUUUUUUUUUCCCAUUCCUUUUCCCAUUUGUGCUUCAGAUUUUGUAAUUUCUCUCCAUCCAUCUUCAGGUUUGCUGAUUCUUCUGCCAGCUUAAAUGUACUAUUGAGCCUCCCUAGCAAAAGUUCCAAAUUUUCAACUCCCAAAAUUUUCAUUUAGCUCUUUUUCUUCCUACCUUUUUAUUUACAUUUGAUGAGUCACAGUCAGCAUACUUUAAUUCUUUAAACUUGGUUUUCUUUAGGUGUUUGAACAGAUUUACAAUUGUUUCAGAACACUUAUCCUGUAUCUGCUGUCCAUCAAAGGAAAUUUCUGUUGCCUGCUUUUGUCCACGUGUCACACUUUGUUUCUUUGAAUGUCUCAUAAUUUUGUGUUGAAAACAGGUUUUAGGUAACAUAUUGUAGGAUGUCUACAUGGUGGUUCUCCGGUCUACUCUGAGCUUAUUUUUUAUUUAGUGGCAUGGCUGAACUAAUUCAUGAAGUCUGUGUCCCUCACAAUGUGCAGGGACACAUCUGAUGUUCCUGCUCAAGUUGUUUCUCUCAUUUUUAUCUUUAAGGAUGACUUCCUAAGGGUUGCUUCUGAGUCAGCAUCAUUAAUGAUCAGCCAUUAAUUAAUAAGAGGUUGUGUUUAAGCCCCCUGAAUCAGGGAGAUUUACACCCUACAACAAUAUGUGGGGUGUGGCAUCUUUCACUGUUUAGGGAGUUUACAAGUUUUGUCCUACAUUCUGUUAGGGACUUGUAACUCUGGUUGUUCCUAUGUGGCUCUAGCCCUGAAUCACACACAUUAAUCACAAGGGAUGUCUGUAGUUUUACCCAGUCUUUGUCUCCCCGAUUUGGUCUUUAAGCUUUCUGGCUGGUAUCUAUUGGUAUUACCAGUAACUGCUAGCCUCUAUUUAAUUGGUAGCUGAUUGUCCUAUAGUUUUCAACAAUUUUGGGGGUACAAACAGCUCCAGUCUGUUCCAGGUAAAGUUAGGCCCCUAGUAUAUGGGAAGUGUGCUGUCAAGCUCACUCAACCCUUCUCUUAAAGUGAACCCCUUUCUUCGCCUUUGUACUAUGGAGCAUGUUUGGUAGGGCGUAGGAGUGAGGGUAUGGGAAACCUGGCUCUUCGCUGAAUGUCUCCCAGAUCCUCCCUGCAGAGCAGUUGUGUCAGGGGUUAGAGGACAACAUGGGGGAGAAUCUUCUAUCACCUCCCAGUAUGGAUCUUCUAUAGCCCAGAAUCACAGAGGACGGAAUCUGCUCUAAUGUUCACUAGUGGGAUGCCUGAGUGGCUCAGUGGUUGAGCAUCUGCCUUUGGCUCAGGGCGUGAUCCCAGAGUUCCAGGAUCAAGCCUGCAUCGGGCUCCCUACAUGGAGCCUGUUUCUUCCUCUGCCUGUGUCUCUACCUCUGUGUUUCUCAUGAAUAAAUUAAAAAAUCUUAAAAUAAAAAAUAAUUAAAAAAAAUAAUGUUCACCAGCUGCUGAAUGUACACAGAAUAGCUCUUCUGUCCCCAGAAAGCUUUGAGAGAUAUAAGCUGUCAUCUGGAUGCCAAGCUCACCAGGGCAGGUCUCUCAUAACACGGUUGUGUUGGAAAGGUACUUGUACAAUAAGAGUAGCUGUCCUGCCCUGAUUCUCCUUACACUACAGGAUUUGGGAAUGGUACAAUGGGCACCACUAACCAGCUGCCACCUCCCACUUGAUACAAGCCUUCUGUGGAAGAUCUGUGUGGAAAAUGGGACCUAUCAAAUGGGGAUAUAUUUAAUCUUAUACCCAGAGACACUGUAUCUCCCAGUUAAGUUUUGUAGUUUUUUCCUUUGGCAGCGCCACAUAACUUUUAUUAUUUUGUGGAUCUUACUAUAAAUGGGUCUUCUCUUAUAAUUUGCCAAUUGAUUAUUAUUGUUUAGGAAAGCUAAUUUUUGGAGCAGCCUGGGUGGCUCAGCAGUUUAGCGCCACCUUCAGCCCAGGGAGUGAUCCUGGAGACCCGGGAUCAAGUCCCACAUCGGGCUCCCUGCAUGGAGCCUACUUCUCCCUCUGCCUGCGUCUCUGCCUCUCUUUCUCUGUGUCUCUUAUGAAUAAAUAAAUAAAUAAAUCUUAAAAGAAAAAAAAGGAAAGCUAAUUUUCAGUGUAAUUCUUUGGAUUUUCAAAAUAUUGCAAUCAAGUAAUUUGCAAAUAGUAUUUUAUUCUCUAUCCAAAUUUUUCAUUUUGUUUUCCUAUCUUUUUACAUUAGCAAUAACUUAUGAAAUAAUUGAUGAGAGCAGGCACCUUAACCGAAAGAAGCAAUUUCACUUGCAACCUGAACAUUACCUUCACAUCAAGGAAGAAUUUUUCUAACAUAUUAAAAAUGACUUUACUAGAAAUGAGUAUUUUUUAUUUUUUUAGUAAGUACAUUCUAGACAUUGACUAAAAUCAUGAUUUUUUAGAUUGAUCUACCUAAUAUUAACAUUCUUCCUACACUCUUUACUCAAACAUUUACACUAUCAUAAUAAUGGUAUGUACUUUUUAAAGAAAGAUGAUUUUUAAAUUUGGGGCACUUAUUAACAGAAGCUCAAAAGACAGAACUAAAAAAAAAAAAAAAAAAACAUUCAAAGAAGACUUUGAAGAGGUAAAAUACCUGUUCCAAGAUACUACUUCUCAAUUAUCCAAUUAAGAACAUAUUUAAACCAAUGAACACCAAAAUCAACCAAACUGAUCCUAUUUCAACUGCAUUAUAGGAAAAUUUUUCUGCUAAUGCUACCUUCUCAACUAGCAACAAAUAAUGUCCUAGAAAUUUCUCCAGCAAGUUUCACUGGAUAAGAUCUUCAAUGGAGUCAAGGCACUUUGCUGAAAAUAAGAAUCCUAACAAAUUGCUAAAAUAAGGAAUAAACAGUGCCAAUACCCCGAUUAAAUGGGACAUAUUCCAAGUUAAAUAAGCAGAUAUCAGUAGUGGGAAAAAAAAAUCAGUAAAUAUUGUUUUUACCUCACCUCCAUUCUCCUCCAUCCCAAGAACUCUAAUUACUUUUCUUAAGGGCUAUUUCAAAUCACUUAAAUAACUAGUAUCUAUUUCUCACCUAACCUGGACAGAAAUUCCCACAGCACCUGUUUUACUGUUAAUUCCUCUGUAAGAUGCAUUACCGUUUGCACACAAAUGACCCAUUUACUUUACCCACUAAUCACUUUCAUUACUUACAUUCUCUUCACUUUUAAAUACAUUUACAUUGGUAACUUAUAUGCAUAUUUUUUAUAUUUUGUGACUUUUAUACAGCUGGUAUACAUCACAAAAAAAAACUGUAUCAAACUUGGUUUUAAUUUAAAAAAUUCCAUUCUAAGAGCAGAUUGUUGAGAGAACUAAAAGCAAGGGGUAGUAAAAACUUUGGUGGGCCAAACUCAGCCCAUGGCUCAUUUCCUUAAAUGAAGUUUUAUUAAAACAUAGGCAUACUCAUUGAUUUACAUAUUGUCUAGGGCUGCUUCUGCAUUAUGACAGUGGUGGAGUGUCUGCCUCUGGCUCAGGUUGUGAGUCCUGCAUCAGGCUCCCUGUGGGGAGCCUGCCUAUGUCUCUGUCUCUCUCAAGUAAAUAAACAAAAUCUUAAAAAAAAAAAAAAAAAAAAAA